This 532-nucleotide long non-coding RNA is filed under the name Macaca mulatta (Rhesus monkey). RNAcentral describes it as "lncRNA (ENSMMUG00000045578.2)". Lineage: Eukaryota; Metazoa; Chordata; Mammalia; Primates; Cercopithecidae. The record is from RNAcentral.
AUGGAGCUGAGUGGUCCUCCUGGUCUCCAAUGGCCUGGCGGUGGCGCGAUGGGAGGGAGAGCGCCCCCUGGAGGCCUAGGCGGUUCCUGGCUCGUGUGCCCGCGGGAACCCAAGCAGUCAGCCUCUGGCCCCGCCAGGGCGUACGAAUCCUUUCCUCGUUUAUCCAGUAUUAAGUCACGCUGUGUGCUAACUGCCGUGGCCAGGCAGCAGCUACACAACGAGCUGAGUGUCCGCGCGCGGCGGUUGAAUUGCGCCCAGCGAGACAACGGCCUGCGAACGCCAGUUAGGGGAGAGGCGUCUCGGAGACUCAGAGACACCAAGGCCCCUGCGACGAGGUGGCUGCCGCUAGGGGGCGUCAGGACGACGGACCGGGUUCGAGUUGGACCCGCCUUUUCCGCCCGCGCCCCAGGCCCGUGCAGUUCGGCAUUCGCGUCCGAGAGCGGGAAAGAAGCAGUGGCCAAGGCGCCGAUUUUAUUUGGAGAGAAGCAAGCAUCUUUGCCUCUUUGGAGUAGGAAAUUCUGACUUGAAAAAG